CGAAAGCCUGACGGAGCAAUACCGCGUGAGGGAGGAAGGCUCUUGGGUUGUAAACCUCUUUUCUCAGGGAAGAACAAAAUGACGGUACCUGAGGAAUAAGCAUCGGCUAACUCCGUGCCAGCAGCCGCGGUAAUACGGAGGAUGCAAGCGUUAUCCGGAAUGAUUGGGCGUAAAGCGUCCGCAGGUGGCAGUGUAAGUCUGCUGUCAAAGGUCAGGGCUUAACUCUGAACAGGCAGUGGAAACUACACAGCUAGAGUGCGGUGGGGGCAGAGGGAAUUCCCAGUGUAGCGGUGAAAUGCGUAGAGAUUGGGAAGAACACCGGUGGCGAAAGCGCUCUGCUAGGCCGUAACUGACACUCAUGGACGAAAGCUAGGGGAGCG
RNAcentral lists this ribosomal RNA (380 nucleotides) under uncultured soil crust cyanobacterium. Its description in RNAcentral is "bacterial SSU rRNA". It matches the Rfam family "Bacterial small subunit ribosomal RNA", at positions 376 to 770 of the family's 1533-position model. Lineage: Bacteria; Bacillati; Cyanobacteriota. The record is from RNAcentral.